Molecule: long non-coding RNA, 2034 nt
Organism: Nymphaea colorata (pocket water lily)
Lineage: Eukaryota; Viridiplantae; Streptophyta; Magnoliopsida; Nymphaeales; Nymphaeaceae
Exons: 8
Source: RefSeq, a predicted model, not a curated record
GCGCGCAUGUGUGCCCCGCCAAAAGCAGGGAAGGGGCGACAGAGAACGACGAUACUGGUGGAUGAACACCGACGACGACCUAUAGUUCUUGCCUCCUUGGAGACGGGCCUCAAGAACAUCGCAGAGAGGCAGGCCUCCUCCUCUACUGCUUCAUCCCCUUCUCCUGCCUUGUCGCCGAUCAAGAAUCCAUCGCACCUUCUCCCAUCCCGUCGCGGAUCAAGAAUCCAUUGCAGCUUCUCUCGUCCCCUCGCCGAUCAAGAAUCCAUAGCAGCUUCUCCCGUCCCGUCGCUGAUAAAAAAUCCAUCCCGUUUACCUUCCCCUUUCAAAGGGCUCUCCAUCAACAUCUUUUGGCAUUCCCCUGGGAAGAUCGCUGCAGAAUCCCCCUAAAAUACUGUAAGACAUAUCCCCCUCACUCUCACGUUCUCCCUCUCUAUCUUUCCCUGUGCAUGUAAUUGUCUUCAUCGCUGUCGUCGUCUUCGUCUUCUUCCCUCGAGAAAUUGUUCGUUACUCAAGGUUUCAAACCCUUUGCGAUCUGCUGUGGCUAAAAUUCCUUCGAGCCAUCGUCAGCUUCGCUGCCGUCCUCGUCUUUAAGAAAUUCUUGGCUCCUUUGUGGUUAUGGGUUUCUCAAACCCAAGGCAAUACUGCUUCUCCUGAAAUGCGUUCAUAUCACAUUCACAUCAUCUUGCUGUAUGAAGAUUUUCAAACACUGGCCCCGUCAUCUGCCUUGUCAAUAAUUUUGAGGAACGAAGAAGAGGACCUCUCUCCGCGCGUUUUUUUGAAUUUCACUGCGGGUUCUCUCGCCCCUCACUCUCUUCCAUUUCCGUCCCUCUCUUUAUCUUCAUCCGCGUCAUUCAACCGCCGCAUCGACGACACGCGCUCGCCGCUGCACGAGUUUCAGACGGACCCAGCGCCCUCGGGCUCCACGGCUCUGUACGGCACCACCACCGUCUGUCUAUGUCUUUGCUCUUUGCUGCUGCAGCUCUGUUUCCAGCGCUCCGCCUAAUCGCUGCUAUGGCCCUCCACCGCUCUUACGGUUUGGGUUUUGGGAUUGCUUCCAAAAGGAUAGAGAACAUAUAUGAUCUAGAGUGAUGCCUUGAUUGGAAUUGAAGUACAAAAUUUUUUCCCAGCUGCCACACGUGAAUAUGCUCCAUUAGUGGAUGCGGUCUUUGAUGCUUCAGAAUGUUUUUCGUGCUCCUUGAACCUAUGUAAGCAUGUCUCUAAGUGGUAUAAAGGGAAUUAGUGAGUUGCAGAAUAUAUCUUCCUUCAAUUCCCAGUAUCUCUUUCUCAAACCACCUACGAAAGUCAGGAAUGUGGCUAUGGCGAGUAGGAUGAUGGAAGGCUCUGUAUUAAUGUUUACAACCCCACAGCUUGACUGUGACUCGAAUGGAAUCCUCUCCAGACGACUCUUUCCUGUUAGUAUUCUCAAGAGAUCGUGAUUUUUCUGUUUUCUCAAUAGCAGGAGAUGGGGUACAUGAGGUCGGUCUUAAACUUGUUGGAAAGGUUGAAGCACAUCAGUGAAUCGUAUGGGCUUGCUUAAGAACCCACUUGGCCACCUGCAUGAUUGAGCAAUUGAUUGGAAAGGGCUGCUGCUCACGAAACUUGAACCAGUAACAGGCCGCCUACCAGCUGCUAGCUCAAGCAGGUGCCCGGAACGACUUAAUCCAGCGCGAGAUCUCUAAGAUGCAGAAAUCAUGUCCAUUCAAAAUCCUAAACUACAGGAAGUUUCGCACUCUUAGGCUGCUAUUGCUUCAUCUUUAUGGAAAGCGAACGUUUGAAAAGCAAUAAGGAAUCCAUACGUAUUGGACUAUAUGCACGUAAGGUCAUCAUCCACAUUGACUUCUAUAGAUGGUGACAAUAUUAUUACUCUUAAAAUUGGGCCACUCCUUGCAUGUCAUUGAACCGACCAAGACCGCCAAGCAACGAUCGACUUGGCUAUUCAUUGAAUGUAUUUUAUCGGCACAUACAAAUACAAUCGCCUUUGACAUGGGUUAUCAGUGCACUGAUUAAGAACCAAAAUCGUUGCUGAGAUGUACA